GACGAACGCUGGCGGCGUGCUUAACACAUGCAAGUCGAACGGAAAGGCCCUGCUUUUGUGGGGUGCUCGAGUGGCGAACGGGUGAGUAAAACGUGAGUAACAUGUCCUUGUCUUUGGGAUAACUUCAGGAAACUGGGGCUAAUACCGGAUAGGAGCUCUUGCUGCAUGGUGGGGGUUGGAAAGUUUCGGCGGUUGGGGAUGGACUCGCGGGUUAUCAGCUUGUUGGUGGGGUAGUGGCUUACCAAGGCUUUGACGGCUAGCCGGCCUGAGAGGGUGACCGGCCACAUGGGGACUGAGAUACGGCGCAGACUCCUACGGGAGGCAGCAGUGGGGAAUAUUGCACAAUGGGGGGAAGCCUGAUACAGCAACGCCGCGUGCGGGAUGCUGGCUUUCGGGUUGUAAACCACUUUCGCCUGUAACGAAGCGUGAGUGACGGUAAUGGGUAAAGAAGCACCGGCUAACUACGUG
RNAcentral lists this ribosomal RNA (468 nucleotides) under uncultured bacterium. Its description in RNAcentral is "partial 16S ribosomal RNA". It matches the Rfam family "Bacterial small subunit ribosomal RNA", at positions 28 to 507 of the family's 1533-position model. The record is from RNAcentral.